UUUAUUUCACCUUUUUUUCUUUUAGAUUCAUAUCAAUGUGCUUUGAUUUACUUGAAGAAAAAAAAAGAUUGUAAAAGGCCAAACCAUUGUUGUGCUCUAAACUCUUCUUGCUACAUUGCUUUUUGUGGAUGAGUGUGCUGCCCUCACAAGUGACACACAGAACUGACUCACCCUCUGUAUCCCUGUUUAUUCCCUCAAGCACAGACAUAUUCUAUGAAAAUUGAAAACUCUGGAUGGUUCCUAUGAUAAAAGUUGAAAAUGCCACUUGGGGUCUAGGAAACAAUAUUUAAUUUCAAGAAAUUGAAGCACUUCACUCAGAUUCAUCAUGUCAGGGUAAUGCAAGAUAAGAAUUCUUACUUACUGGAGGACCAGGUGGACCAGAAGCCUGGAAUAUACACUCCUUGCUUGCAUGGAACUUGAAUGGCACACAGGUUUUAGACUGGGCUGAAGUUACAAAGACACAACAGUUAGCAAAGCAUACCUUCUCUCCUUUGGAACCUGGGUCUCCUUUCAGGCCAGGCAAGCCAGCUUUCUCCAGGGUGACACUGAACAUCUGCAGCACUGCAUGAACCUUUUGGCCAGCAGAGAUAGCUCAGACUUUACAUCAAAGGAGGACCAGGUGGGCCAGCUUCACCUGAAGGACCUGGUGGACCCUGCAACAGAAAAUUAAAAUUACAGCAGUAAUAAAGGAUGAAGUUCUCAUCUUUAUUAAACACCACAGACAUAUGCCAUGUGUUAUCAUGUCCUUUCAAUGGACAGACUCUACAGAAAUAGAACUUUGAUGCUUAAUAUGGGUAUUGCUGAGGUACUGCUUAAGAUCUUGGCUUAAUUUUGUUAGUUCAGCUAAUGAAGAUUAUUUGGCUGCAGCAUUUCUUUCUUAUGCUCAGAGCUGCUCUAUUUUUAGUGCUCCUCAGCAGCUCCAGCAGAAAUCCUUUAACACAUCACUACUUCUAAAAGAAAUUGAGCUCUUGCUUAAUUGUGUUACAGUAAUAUGGGCAGUUCUUUCUCUUCAAGGAAAUAAAUAGUUAUUUUUCAGUAUAAUAGAAAAAGUGUCCACUCUGAAAAUAUUUUUAAGAGUAUGACUGCAUAGAAGCCACUGAUUUGGCAGAAGAUACUUAUCAUCAGAGAGCUCAUGCAGGUGAAAUAAAAUGAGAGAAAAAUCUUACAGGUUGACCAGGAUCACCAUCUUCACCCUUCUCUCCACCAACACCAUCCUGACCCUACAGAAUUCAAGGAAAAUAAACAAAAUUAAAAAUUCAGCUAAUGUAAGCCACUAAAUUUCAUAUAUGGAUAUAAGAGCAGUAUUUUUCUAUAGAGCAUUUUUCCAAGGUCAUUAUUUUUCAAAACUUAAAAAGAUUUUUUUCAUAUUUGUAAACCUUGAGAAAUGCAUGAACUCAAAAGCAAUGGAUCUUACAGGCAAGUGCUCAUGCCCAGACAGGAAAGAGAGAGGGUCAACUAGAAUUAAGUACAAACUAGGACUAGGACCUAAAACUGUUUUUAAGGUAUACUUACAGCUGGACCAGGUUCCCCAGGGGGACCAGGAUCUCCAGGAAAACCAACUGGGCCCUAUAUAGAUCAGGAAAAAAAGCAAGGAAUGUGUCAUCCAUUGCCAAGCAGGUAGCAUUUAUCAGAAAUCUUUUAUGAAGCAUAUAAUGAACACAGUGCACUUGUAGGAAAUGCUAUGGUUCUGUAUUAACACAAUGCUUCACAGUGGUUUGAGUUAGAAUUAUGAAGCUCACUUACUGGGUUACCCUUAGGCCCAUCAUCACCUGGAGGUCCUUUAGCACCUGGUGGUCCGGCUGCUCCAGGUGGACCAGCUUCACCUUUUUCUCCCCUUUCACCUUUUGGGCCCUGUGGGAACACAUGAACACAAAAAUGACAUCUGGAAAUGGAACGGCCAAAAAGAUCACAAUGGCUAACUGGUUUAUCAGUCAAUGGAAAUUUCUCCAUUUCCUUGAUAAAUAGUGGCAUGUGAGUGGGAAAUUAGGAUCUCUUAGGUCAAGUGCCACAUUCUGUACCCAGACUGCAUCAGUGAACUGUUUCCAGGAAGAAAAACAUGCAAGCCAAAGUUAAUACUUAUUGAAGGAAAAAUAGGUAUUGUUUUGGGAAGUCUCCAUCCUCUGUUAGUACAAGAUGUGGCUAUGAUUAUAUGGAAAAAAAUGUCAUUUUAAAGGUAUAAGUUUUCUGCUGAAAAUUCAAAGGAAACAUGCACAAGUGUUCAAGUGAUCUGAGGAAAUGCUUACCAAAGCCCUGCCAGAUACCACAGUUCACCACAAUAAAUGUUAAUAAUAAGACAACAACAAAAUACUCACAGCUGUUCCAGAUUCUCCAGGAGGUCCAGGGUUACCAGCUUCUCCAGGCUCACCCUACAGAUGCAUAAGAAUAAAUUUAUGAGUCAUUAGGGAGAACAUUUUGAUGAAUUUACUUCUGUAAUUGCAUAUUCUUCCCAUGCUUAUUUAUGUAAACAACUUAUAAGAAGGGUUUUUAUUUGGUCUACCUAGAGGGGUUGAGUUAUGCAUAUGGUUUUUCAGAACUGGAGUCUGAAAUUUGAGACAUAAUACAUCAAACUAAUAUUUUCUUGAGCCAGGGACACUAAACUUCCCUUUGGGCUUUGGAAGAUGUUCCCCUUUAUUAUUCCAUACUGCAAAUUUCCUGCUUGUGAUUAUUGCUAUAGCUACUGUUGGAAGAAGAAAAAACUAUAUAAAGAAAAACCUAAGGACGAAAUAAUAGCAUCCAUUAGAAAAAGUUUCUCCACAGGCUACAGAGGUGAGUGUUACAUAUUUACCAGUGAUAGAAUUUAUUUUGUAAAGCAGAUGGCUUUCAGGAUGAUACUGUAUGAAAAGAAAAUCUGUGCAAGUCAAAGAUUGUGCACUAUUAAGUGAACAUUUAAGAUAAUUCAGUCUCCUUCUGAGCCAAUACAUAGUAUUAUCUCAAGGACUGUCUUUACAAGUUUUCAUUUUAAUGUUUAGUUAUGACCAAUUAUUUUCUAGCUCAGUGGUCUGAUGAAUAAACUUUAAUAGAAAACUCUUCUGCUAGAAUAUUUAGUUAUUAGCAUCACAGAAACAUAAACCAUGGAAGGAUAAGAGAAUAUGCUUUGUGAUUGUUAUGGAGUGCUUGGAUAAGAAAUACAUGCUCUUAUCCCAAAGGAUUUUUCAAUCCAACUGCUAAUGGGGGCAAAUAUAUUCUUUUUCCAAUAAUUAUGUCUAUCAGCAAGAGUAGUUCAGUGCUGAAAAUACAUUUUACCCAAUGAUUUACUGAAUUCACAGAACUGGAAUAAAUUUCUGUAUCCUUCCUAACCUGUGUGACCUGCACGCCCCUCUUCAUUUUAUGACAAUUCUGUUAAUUCAUACAUGUCAUUUCCACGUGGUCAGUAUAAAACUUUAAAUCAUAAAAUACAAUUUGAACCCAAAACUUUGGUGUAGGUACUGAACCUUUUUUUUCAGAGAAGCUCAAAGCACCAAGAUAACCUCACGGGGACAGAAUUUGGCCCAGUACAAAUAUUUCAUUAGAUUAAAGGAAAAUAUUUCAGUACCUCUCAACUGAAUUCCAGACUAGGAUAAUUAACAAAUAACCAAUAUUUUAGGAGCAAUAUUAAAAUGCCCUUUACAAAGGGCACUAUUAAAGGGUGAAUGUGCCUUUAGAAACUCUGGUAUGUUCUAUUAGAUAUAUAAAAUUUCUAGAAACUUCAAAAAUGAAUGAUUCCUUUUAGGGUUUGAUAUUAAUUUACUUCUGUGACGUUGCAUUCAUUUCAAAACAAAACAAAACCUGUAGUGGAUGCUUCAGAUCAAUAAGUGUUAGGAAUGUUUUCUAAGAAAAUUAAUAAUCUUCAUUUCCUUAUUCUCUGCCCAGCAUUUACUGAGUCUGCAGCAUCAUUAGCAUUGGGGUUUUGUCCAUGCCUACUGUCAAUCAAAUGAGAUUUUUGUAGCAACAGAGAAUGAAGUCUGGAAUCAGCAAAAUGUGUUUUUCACAUCAGUAGCCAUACUAUAGCCACAGAGUCCACUCUAUAGAGCCUUUCCAAAGCGUUGGAGAGAUGGAGUAGGAUGAGAAAAAAAUCACAGUCAGGAGGUCAUGUGAAGUCAUUAAAGAUAAAAGGUAAAAUAAUAAACGAAUUUACCUGUAAGCCAAUAGGGCCUGGGGGCCCAGGGAAGCCUCGAGGACCUUCAUCACCUUUUUGCCCAAACAUCCCUUGCUGACCUCGUGGGCCUGGCUCUCCAUCACCUCCCUGUUGGGAAAAAAUGAAGAGCAG
This is a long non-coding RNA of Passer domesticus (house sparrow), 4246 nucleotides long. RefSeq lists it as uncharacterized. The record is from RefSeq and is a predicted model, not a curated record. Lineage: Eukaryota; Metazoa; Chordata; Aves; Passeriformes; Passeridae. The transcript is spliced from 8 exons.